This 521-nucleotide ribosomal RNA is filed under the name uncultured bacterium. RNAcentral's name for it is "bacterial SSU rRNA". It matches the Rfam family "Archaeal small subunit ribosomal RNA", at positions 345 to 866 of the family's 1478-position model. The record is from RNAcentral.
AACCUCCGCAAUGUGAGAAAUCGCGACGGGGGGAUCCCAAGUGCCAUUCUUAACGGGAUGGCUUUUCAUUAGUGUAAAGAGCUUUUGGAAUAAGAGCUGGGCAAGACCGGUGCCAGCCGCCGCGGUAACACCGGCAGCUCUAGUGGUAGCUGUUUUUAUUGGGCCUAAAGCGUUCGUAGCCGGUUUGAUAAGUCACUGGUGAAAUCCUGUAGCUUAACUGUGGGAAUUGCUGGUGAUACUGUUGAACUUGAGGUCGGGAGAGGUUAGCGGUACUCCCAGGGUAGAGGUGAAAUUCUGUAAUCCUGGGAGGACCACCUGUGGCGAAGGCGGCUAACUGGAACGAACCUGACGGUGAGGGACGAAAGCUAGGGGCGCGAACCGGAUUAGAUACCCGGGUAGUCCUAGCCGUAAACGAUGCGGACUUGGUGUUGGGAUGGCUUUGAGCCGCUCCGGUGCCGGAGGGAAGCUGUUAAGUCCGCCGCCUGGGAAGUACGGUCGCAAGACUGAAACUUAAAGGAAUU